RNAcentral lists this ribosomal RNA (2900 nucleotides) under Klebsiella pneumoniae. RNAcentral's name for it is "bacterial LSU rRNA". It matches the Rfam family "Bacterial large subunit ribosomal RNA". Lineage: Bacteria; Pseudomonadati; Pseudomonadota; Gammaproteobacteria; Enterobacterales; Enterobacteriaceae. The record is from RNAcentral. RNAcentral also lists the same sequence under 1 other name.
UUAAGCGACUAAGCGUACACGGUGGAUGCCCUGGCAGUCAGAGGCGAUGAAGGACGUGCUAAUCUGCGAAAAGCGUCGGUAAGGUGAUAUGAACCGUUAUAACCGGCGAUGUCCGAAUGGGGAAACCCAGUGCAAUUCGUUGCACUAUCGUUAACUGAAUACAUAGGUUAACGAGGCGAACCGGGGGAACUGAAACAUCUAAGUACCCCGAGGAAAAGAAAUCAACCGAGAUUCCCCCAGUAGCGGCGAGCGAACGGGGAGCAGCCCAGAGUCUGAAUCAGCUUGUGUGUUAGUGGAACGGUCUGGAAAGUCCGACGGUACAGGGUGAUAGUCCCGUACACCAAAAUGCACAGGUUGUGAACUCGAAGAGUAGGGCGGGACACGUGGUAUCCUGUCUGAAUAUGGGGGGACCAUCCUCCAAGGCUAAAUACUCCUGACUGACCGAUAGUGAACCAGUACCGUGAGGGAAAGGCGAAAAGAACCCCGGCGAGGGGAGUGAAAAAGAACCUGAAACCGUGUACGUACAAGCAGUGGGAGCACCUUCGGGUGUGACUGCGUACCUUUUGUAUAAUGGGUCAGCGACUUAUAUUCUGUAGCAAGGUUAACCGUAUAGGGGAGCCGCAGGGAAACCGAGUCUUAACUGGGCGUUAAGUUGCAGGGUAUAGACCCGAAACCCGGUGAUCUAGCCAUGGGCAGGUUGAAGGUUGGGUAACACUAACUGGAGGACCGAACCGACUAAUGUUGAAAAAUUAGCGGAUGACUUGUGGCUGGGGGUGAAAGGCCAAUCAAACCGGGAGAUAGCUGGUUCUCCCCGAAAGCUAUUUAGGUAGCGCCUCGUGAAUUCAUCUUCGGGGGUAGAGCACUGUUUCGGCUAGGGGGUCAUCCCGACUUACCAACCCGAUGCAAACUACGAAUACCGAAGAAUGUUAUCACGGGAGACACACGGCGGGUGCUAACGUCCGUCGUGAAGAGGGAAACAACCCAGACCGCCAGCUAAGGUCCCAAAGUCAUGGUUAAGUGGGAAACGAUGUGGGAAGGCACAGACAGCCAGGAUGUUGGCUUAGAAGCAGCCAUCAUUUAAAGAAAGCGUAAUAGCUCACUGGUCGAGUCGGCCUGCGCGGAAGAUGUAACGGGGCUAAACCAUGCACCGAAGCUGCGGCAGCGACACUAUGUGUUGUUGGGUAGGGGAGCGUUCUGUAAGCCUGCGAAGGUGUGCUGUGAGGCAUGCUGGAGGUAUCAGAAGUGCGAAUGCUGACAUAAGUAACGAUAAAGCGGGUGAAAAGCCCGCUCGCCGGAAGACCAAGGGUUCCUGUCCAACGUUAAUCGGGGCAGGGUGAGUCGACCCCUAAGGCGAGGCCGAAAGGCGUAGUCGAUGGGAAACAGGUUAAUAUUCCUGUACUUGGUGUUACUGCGAAGGGGGGACGGAGAAGGCUAUGUUAGCCGGGCGACGGUUGUCCCGGUUUAAGCAUGUAGGCUGAUUAUCCAGGCAAAUCCGGAUAAUCAAGGCUGAGGUGUGAUGACGAGGCACUACGGUGCUGAAGUAACAAAUGCCCUGCUUCCAGGAAAAGCCUCUAAGCAUCAGGUAACAUCAAAUCGUACCCCAAACCGACACAGGUGGUCAGGUAGAGAAUACCAAGGCGCUUGAGAGAACUCGGGUGAAGGAACUAGGCAAAAUGGUGCCGUAACUUCGGGAGAAGGCACGCUGGUGUGUAGGUGAAGCCCCUGCGGGUGGAGCUGAGACCAGUCGAAGAUACCAGCUGGCUGCAACUGUUUAUUAAAAACACAGCACUGUGCAAACACGAAAGUGGACGUAUACGGUGUGACGCCUGCCCGGUGCCGGAAGGUUAAUUGAUGGGGUUAUCCGUAAGGAGAAGCUCUUGAUCGAAGCCCCGGUAAACGGCGGCCGUAACUAUAACGGUCCUAAGGUAGCGAAAUUCCUUGUCGGGUAAGUUCCGACCUGCACGAAUGGCGUAAUGAUGGCCAGGCUGUCUCCACCCGAGACUCAGUGAAAUUGAACUCGCUGUGAAGAUGCAGUGUACCCGCGGCAAGACGGAAAGACCCCGUGAACCUUUACUAUAGCUUGACACUGAACAUUGAGCCUUGAUGUGUAGGAUAGGUGGGAGGCUUUGAAGCGUGGACGCCAGUCUGCGUGGAGCCAACCUUGAAAUACCACCCUUUAAUGUUUGAUGUUCUAACGUUGGCCCCUGACCGGGGUUGCGGACAGUGUCUGGUGGGUAGUUUGACUGGGGCGGUCUCCUCCCAAAGCGUAACGGAGGAGCACGAAGGUUAGCUAAUCCUGGUCGGACAUCAGGAGGUUAGUGCAAUGGCAUAAGCUAGCUUGACUGCGAGCGUGACGGCGCGAGCAGGUGCGAAAGCAGGUCAUAGUGAUCCGGUGGUUCUGAAUGGAAGGGCCAUCGCUCAACGGAUAAAAGGUACUCCGGGGAUAACAGGCUGAUACCGCCCAAGAGUUCAUAUCGACGGCGGUGUUUGGCACCUCGAUGUCGGCUCAUCACAUCCUGGGGCUGAAGUAGGUCCCAAGGGUAUGGCUGUUCGCCAUUUAAAGUGGUACGCGAGCUGGGUUUAGAACGUCGUGAGACAGUUCGGUCCCUAUCUGCCGUGGGCGCUGGAGAAUUGAGGGGGGCUGCUCCUAGUACGAGAGGACCGGAGUGGACGCAUCACUGGUGUUCGGGUUGUCAUGCCAAUGGCACUGCCCGGUAGCUAAAUGCGGAAGAGAUAAGUGCUGAAAGCAUCUAAGCACGAAACUUGCCCCGAGAUGAGUUCUCCCUGAGACUUUAAGUCUCCUGAAGGAACGUUGAAGACGACGACGUUGAUAGGCCGGGUGUGUAAGCGCAGCGAUGCGUUGAGCUAACCGGUACUAAUGAACCGUGAGGCUUAACCUU